GGUUAUGGUUAGCGUUAGGAUUAAUGUUAGGAUUUGGUUAGGGUUAGGGUUAGGGUUAGGGUUAGUGUUAGGGUUAGGAUUAGGGUUAGGGUUCGGGGUUAGGGUUAGGCUUAGGGUUAGGGUUAGGGCUAGGAUUAGGGUUAGGGUUAGGGUUAUUGCCAGGGUUAGGGUUAGGGUUAGAUUUAUUUUAAGGGUUAGUGUUUGAUUAAGUUUAGGGUUAGUGUUUUUGUUAGGGGUAGGAUUAGGUUAGGAUUAGAGUAGUGUUAGGGUUAGGGUUUGAGUUAGGGUUAGGGUUAGGUUAGGGUUCGGGUUAGGGUUCUGAUUAAGUAUAGGGUUAGGCUAGAGUUAGAGCUUGGGCUUGGGAUAGGGUUAGGGUUACGUUUAGUGUUAGGGAAGAAUUAGGGUCAGGGUUAGGGUUAGGGUUAGGGUUUGGGUUUAGGGUUCUGUUUAAGUAUAGGGUUAGGGUAAGUAUAGGUUUAGGCUAGGGUUAGGGCUUGGGUUUGUGUUAGGGGUAGGGUUAGUUUUAGGGUUAUGUUUAGUGUUAGGGAAGAAUUAGGGUCAGGGUUAGGGUUAGGGUUAGGGUUAGGGUUAGGGUUAGGGUUAGGGUUAAGGUAGGGUUAAGGUUAUGGUUAAGGUAGGGUUAAGGUUAUGGUUAGGGUUAGGGUAGGGUUAGGGUUUGGGGUUAGGGUUGGGGUUUAUGCUUAGGGUUAGGUUUUGGGUUAGGUUUAGGGUUAGGGUUAGGGUAAGGAUUUGGGUUAGGGGAAAGGUUAGGGUUAGGGUUAGGGUUUGGGUAAGGAUUAGGUUUAGGGCUUGGGUUGGGGUAGGUUUAGCGUUAGGGUUAUGGUUAGGGUUAAGGUUAGGGUUAGUGUAAGGUUUCAGUUUAGGGUUAGGGUUAGUGUAAGUGUUAGGGUUAGGUUUAGGGAUAGGGUUAGGGUUAUGGUAGGGUAAGGGUUAGUGUAAGGGUUAGGGUUAGAUUUAGGGUUAGGAUUAGGGUUAGGGUUAGGUUUAGGGAUAGGGAUAGGGAUAGGUUUAGUGUUAGGGUAAGGUUAGUGUUAGGGUAAGGUUUAUUUUUAGUGUAAGGUUUUGGGAUAGGUUUAGUGUAGGGUUAGGCUAAGGGUAGGGUUAGGGAUAGGGUUAGCCUUUUGGUUAUGGUUAGGUUUAGGGUAAAUGUUUGGGUUAGGAUUAGGGUCAGGGUUAGGGUUCUGUUUUGGGUUAGUCUUAGGGUAAGUGUUAGGGUUAGGUUUAUGGAUAGGGCUAGGGUCAGGUUUUGAGUUCGAUUUAGGGUUCGGUCUAGGGUUAGUGUUAGGGUUAGGGUUUAG
This 1319-nucleotide long non-coding RNA is filed under the name Gallus gallus (chicken). RNAcentral describes it as "lncRNA (ENSGALG00010000572.1)". Lineage: Eukaryota; Metazoa; Chordata; Aves; Galliformes; Phasianidae. The record is from RNAcentral.